This 344-nucleotide ribosomal RNA is filed under the name uncultured Alphaproteobacteria bacterium. RNAcentral's name for it is "bacterial SSU rRNA". It matches the Rfam family "Bacterial small subunit ribosomal RNA", at positions 1033 to 1378 of the family's 1533-position model. The record is from RNAcentral. Lineage: Bacteria; Pseudomonadati; Pseudomonadota; Alphaproteobacteria.
CACAGGUGCUGCAUGGCUGUCGUCAGCUCGUGUCGUGAGAUGUUGGGUUAAGUCCCGCAACGAGCGCAACCCUCAUCUUUAGUUGCCAGCAGUUCGGCUGGGCACUCUAGAGAAACUGCCUGGGAUGACCAGGAGGAAGGCGAGGAUGACGUCAAGUCCUCAUGGCCCUUAUGGGCUGGGCUACACACGUGCUACAAUGGCGGUGACAAAGGGAAGCAAUAGGGCAACCUGGAGCAAAUCCCAAAAAGCCGUCUCAGUUCGGAUUGUUCUCUGCAACUCGAGAGCAUGAAGUUGGAAUCGCUAGUAAUCGUAGAUCAGCAUGCUACGGUGAAUACGUUCCCGGG